RNAcentral lists this unclassified non-coding RNA (148 nucleotides) under uncultured Dothideomycetes. RNAcentral's name for it is "sequence contains ITS2". The record is from RNAcentral. Lineage: Eukaryota; Fungi; Ascomycota; Dothideomycetes.
CAACCCUCAAGCCCCCGGGCUUGGUGUUGGGCGCUUGUCCUGCAAAGGACUCGCCUGAAAGCGAUUGGCGGCCAACGUACUGGUGGUAGAGCGCAGCACAAUUUGCGUCUUUCCCCUCUGCGUUAGCGUCCAUGAAGCCUAUUUCAAC